GUAAGCUGGAUUCCUUUUCAUUGGCUUCUUCCAUUCACCACAACCAGGGGAUGUCUCACACUUUGGGUUGUCAAUCUUUGGUGCUUCCCAUUCACCAUCCUCCUCGUCAUCCCAAUCUUCCGGUUUUGUUGCCUCAGGAUCAUCAAUUUCCUCAGGUUCAUCAUCCAACCAUCCUUCAGGUUUCUCAGCUUCCUCAUCUACAAUUUCCAUUGGAGCAUCCUCAUCCCAGUCAUCUGGCUUCACAGCAUUAGGGUCAGGAAUUUUAGCUCUCUCAUCCCAGUCCUCCGGCUUCUUAUCUUCUGGAUCAGGAAUCGUCUUUGCAGGAAUUAGAG
RNAcentral lists this long non-coding RNA (332 nucleotides) under Jatropha curcas. RNAcentral describes it as "long non-coding RNA (JCUR_LNC003245)". The record is from RNAcentral. Lineage: Eukaryota; Viridiplantae; Streptophyta; Magnoliopsida; Malpighiales; Euphorbiaceae.